AUGAGCAAAGCUCACCCUCUCAAGUUGAAAAAACUUAUGGACAAGAAGUUAUCAUUGAAGUUAAAUGGUGGCAGACAUGUUCAAGGAAUAUUGCAGAGAUUUGAGCCCUUUAUGAAUCUUGUGAUAGAUGGAUGCAUGUAGAUGGCAACUAGUGGGCAACAGAACAAUAUUGGAAAGGUGGUAAUACAAGGAAAGAGUAUCAUCAUGUUAGAAGCCUUGGCCGGGC
RNAcentral lists this long non-coding RNA (226 nucleotides) under Homo sapiens (human). Its description in RNAcentral is "non-protein coding lnc-SLC19A3-2:1". The record is from RNAcentral. Lineage: Eukaryota; Metazoa; Chordata; Mammalia; Primates; Hominidae.